CAUGCAGUCGAGCGGAAGGCCCUUCGGGGUACUCGAGCGGCGAAGGGUGAGUAACACGUGAGUAACCUGCCCCAGGCUUUGGGAUAACCCCGGGAAACCGGGGCUAAUACCGGAUAUGACCAUCUGUCGCAUGGUGGGUGGUGGAAAGAUUUUUUGGCUUGGGAUGGGCUCGCGGCCUAUCAGCUUGUUGGUGGGGUGAUGGCCUACCAAGGCGGCGACGGGUAGCCGGCCUGAGAGGGCGACCGGCCACACUGGGACUGAGACACGGCCCAGACUCCUACGGGAGGCAGCAGUGGGGAAUCUUGCACAAUGGGCGGAAGCCUGAUGCAGCGACGCCGCGUGAGGGAUGACGGCCUUCGGGUUGUAAACCUCUUUCAGCAGGGACGAAGCGUUUGUGACGGUACCUGCAGAAGAAGCGCCGGCCAACUACGUGCCAGCAGCCGCGGUAAGACGUAGGGCGCAAGCGUUGUCCGGAUUUAUUGGGCGUAAAGAGCUCGUAGGCGGCUUGUCGCGUCGACUGUGAAAACCCGUGGCUCAACUGCGGGCUUGCAGUCGAUACGGGCAGGCUAGAGUUCGGUAGGGGAGACUGGAAUUCCUGGUGUAGCGGUGAAAUGCGCAGAUAUCAGGAGGAACACCGGUGGCGAAGGCGGGUCUCUGGGCCGAUACUGACGCUGAGGAGCGAAAGCGUGGGGAGCGAACAGGAUUAGAUACCCUGGUAGUCCACGCUGUAAACGUUGGGCGCUAGGUGUGGGGGGCCUCUCCGGUUCUCUGUGCCGCAGCUAACGCAUUAAGCGCCCCC
This 799-nucleotide ribosomal RNA is filed under the name Salinispora arenicola. Its description in RNAcentral is "bacterial SSU rRNA". It matches the Rfam family "Bacterial small subunit ribosomal RNA", at positions 54 to 871 of the family's 1533-position model. The record is from RNAcentral. Lineage: Bacteria; Bacillati; Actinomycetota; Actinomycetes; Micromonosporales; Micromonosporaceae.